AUUCUAUAUUUAUGAUUUUUUUUUGAAAAAAAUCUCUGGAAAUUUAUCUGUGGAGGGAAUCAUAUAUUUGAUUUGGUUUAUGUUUUUCUUUGUUUCCGCUCUUUUGGAUUUUUUUAAUUACUUAUUAACAUGAAUGAAUCGUGUAAUUAUUAUUGCUAGGCUUGAUUGAUUUAAUUGGAUUAAAAGUGGUGAUCUGAAAGUAAUUAAUCAAAUUUACAAGAGCCCAGAAUUUAUAUAUAAAAAACCAGGUUAUAUAUAUUUGUGUGUGUGUGUG
RNAcentral lists this unclassified non-coding RNA (274 nucleotides) under Hevea brasiliensis (rubber tree). Lineage: Eukaryota; Viridiplantae; Streptophyta; Magnoliopsida; Malpighiales; Euphorbiaceae. The record is from RNAcentral.